AGAGUUUGAUCAUGGCUCAGGACGAACGCUGGCGGCGUGCCUAAUACAUGCAAGUCGAACGCACUCUCGUUAGAUUGAAGAAGCUUGCUUCUGAUUGAUAACAUUUGAGUGAGUGGCGGACGGGUGAGUAACACGUGGGUAACCUGCCCUAAAGUGGGGGAUAACAUUUGGAAACAGAUGCUAAUACCGCAUAAAACCUAGCACCGCAUGGUGCAAGGUUGAAAGAUGGUUUCGGCUAUCACUUUAGGAUGGACCCGCGGUGCAUUAGUUAGUUGGUGAGGUAAAGGCUCACCAAGACCGUGAUGCAUAGCCGACCUGAGAGGGUAAUCGGCCACACUGGGACUGAGACACGGCCCAGACUCCUACGGGAGGCAGCAGUAGGGAAUCUUCCACAAUGGACGAAAGUCUGAUGGAGCAACGCCGCGUGAGUGAAGAAGGUUUUCGGAUCGUAAAACUCUGUUGUUGGAGAAGAACGUAUUUGAUAGUAACUGAUCAGGUAGUGACGGUAUCCAACCAGAAAGCCACGGCUAACUACGUGCCAGCAGCCGCGGUAAUACGUAGGUGGCAAGCGUUGUCCGGAUUUAUUGGGCGUAAAGCGAGCGCAGGCGGUUUCUUAAGUCUGAUGUGAAAGCCUUCGGCUCAACCGAAGAAGUGCAUCGGAAACUGGGGAACUUGAGUGCAGAAGAGGACAGUGGAACUCCAUGUGUAGCGGUGAAAUGCGUAGAUAUAUGGAAGAACACCAGUGGCGAAGGCGGCUGUCUGGUCUGUAACUGACGCUGAGGCUCGAAAGCAUGGGUAGCAAACAGGAUUAGAUACCCUGGUAGUCCAUGCCGUAAACGAUGAGUGCUAGGUGUUGGAGGGUUUCCGCCC
RNAcentral lists this ribosomal RNA (870 nucleotides) under uncultured bacterium. RNAcentral describes it as "bacterial SSU rRNA". It matches the Rfam family "Bacterial small subunit ribosomal RNA", at positions 8 to 838 of the family's 1533-position model. The record is from RNAcentral.